UAAGGAAUAUUGGUCAAUGGGCGCAAGCCUGAACCAGCCAUGCCGCGUGCAGGAAGACGGCCCUACGGGUUGUAAACUGCUUUUGUGCCAGAAUAAACCUCGGUAUGUAUACUGAGCUGAAUGUAUGGUAAGAAUAAGGAUCGGCUAACUCCGUGCCAGCAGCCGCGGUAAUACGGAGGAUCCGAGCGUUAUCCGGAUUUAUUGGGUUUAAAGGGUGCGUAGGCGGCCUUGUAAGUCAGGGGUGAAAGACGGUAGCUCAACUAUCGCAGUGCCUUUGAUACUGCAGGGCUUGAAUGUACUUGAGGUAGGCGGAAUGUGACAAGUAGCGGUGAAAUGCAUAGAUAUGUCACAGAACACCAAUUGCGAAGGCAGCUUACUAAAGUAUGAUUGACGCUGAGGCACGAAAGCGUGGGGAUCAAACAGGAUUAGAUACCCCUGUAGUCC
RNAcentral lists this ribosomal RNA (444 nucleotides) under uncultured bacterium. Its description in RNAcentral is "bacterial SSU rRNA". It matches the Rfam family "Bacterial small subunit ribosomal RNA", at positions 355 to 796 of the family's 1533-position model. The record is from RNAcentral.